AUGUCAUGAUAAGGGUAGUUUCAUAAUAACUCAUUGAACCGCUCCCAUGCCUUAUAUAAAGAUUCUUCAUCAAGUUGCUCAAAUGAAGUGAUUUCAUUUUAGAUCUU
Molecule: non-coding RNA, 107 nt
Organism: Gossypium hirsutum (cotton)
Lineage: Eukaryota; Viridiplantae; Streptophyta; Magnoliopsida; Malvales; Malvaceae
Source: Rfam